RNAcentral lists this ribosomal RNA (460 nucleotides) under uncultured bacterium. RNAcentral's name for it is "partial 16S ribosomal RNA". It matches the Rfam family "Bacterial small subunit ribosomal RNA", at positions 338 to 795 of the family's 1533-position model. The record is from RNAcentral.
CCUACGGGAGGCUGCAGUGAGGAAUAUUGGUCAAUGGGCGCGAGCCUGAACCAGCCAAGUAGCGUGAAGGAUGAAUGCCCUACGGGUUGUAAACUUCUUUUAUAAAGGAAUAAAGUGAGGCACGUGUGCCUUUUUGUAUGUACUUUAUGAAUAAGGAUCGGCUAACUCCGUGCCAGCAGCCGCGGUAAUACGGAGGAUCCGAGCGUUAUCCGGAUUUAUUGGGUUUAAAGGGAGCGUAGAUGGGUUGUUAAGUCAGUUGUGAAAGUUUGCGGCUCAACCGUAAGAUUGCAAUUGAUACUGGCAGCCUUGAGUACAGUUGAGGUAAGCGGAAUUCGUGGUGUAGCGGUGAAAUGCUUAGAUAUCACGAAGAACACCGAUUGCGAAGGCAGCCUACUAAACUGCCACUGACAUUGAUGCUCGAAAGUGUGGGGAUCAAACAGGAUUAGAUACCCCUGUAGUC